GAUGAACGCUGGCGGCGUGCCUAACACAUGCAAGUCGAGCGGACAGACGAUGCUUUUGCUUGGCUGACGUGAGGGGCGGGCGGGUGAGUCACACGUGUAUCCCCUCCUUAUAAGAGUGGUAUCACUUCGGGAAAGCGGAUAUAAUCCCGGAGAAGAUAUUGAACCGCGGGGGUGAUUGGAGAAAGACGGUGUUGCUGGCUCUACUAGCGGCUUACCAGCUGGAUUGGCUAGUUGGUAAGGUAACGGCUUACCAAGGCAAGGAGGCGUGGCCGAACUGAGAGGGUGAUCGGCGACACUGGAACGGGAACACGGUCCAGACGCCUACGGGAGGCAGCAGUCGGGAAUCUUCGGCAAUGGGCGAAAGCCUGACGGAGCAACGCCGCGUGUGUGAUGACGGUCUUCGGAUCGUAAAGCUCUGUUACUAGGGAUGAACAGAUGUGUAAUUAACUGUGCCCGUCUUGACGGUACCGAAUCAGAAAGCACCGGCUAACUACGUG
RNAcentral lists this ribosomal RNA (497 nucleotides) under uncultured bacterium. RNAcentral describes it as "partial 16S ribosomal RNA". It matches the Rfam family "Bacterial small subunit ribosomal RNA", at positions 28 to 507 of the family's 1533-position model. The record is from RNAcentral.